RNAcentral lists this transfer RNA (65 nucleotides) under Chrysochroa fulgidissima. Its description in RNAcentral is "tRNA-Leu". The record is from RNAcentral. Lineage: Eukaryota; Metazoa; Arthropoda; Insecta; Coleoptera; Buprestidae.
AUUAACUUGGCAGAUUAGUGCGUUGGAUUUAGGAUCCUUUAAUAUGAUUAUUUUCAUAGUUAAUA